Molecule: unclassified non-coding RNA, 203 nt
Filed under: uncultured Sebacina
Lineage: Eukaryota; Fungi; Basidiomycota; Agaricomycetes; Sebacinales; Sebacinaceae
Description: sequence contains ITS2
Source: RNAcentral
UACUCUCACACUCUCCGAUCCUUUGGAUUUGGGGAGCGGUGGACUUGGGUGCUUGCUGCUUUCCUGUGGCUCACCUCAAAUGUGUUAGUGCAUCUCUUGAUUGGACAUAGUACGGCGUGAUAAGUGUCUUCGCCGGCACCUCAUAAGAGGGUGGCCGAUUGGGAGCUCUGUGCUUUCAAACCGUCUUCGGACAACUUCUGACA